AUGGCCGGCCCAGCCCACGAAUUUUUUCUUCCAAAAUCAACAUACAGUCACACCACGCACACAUCAGCCAAAUCCCUAGCUUUCCUUCGUACGCAUUCGUUCCCCAUGCCGGUCAAUAUCCGCGCCGCCGCCUCCACACCGGCCGAUCUCCGCGCCGCCGCCUCCACGCCGGUCGAUCUCCACGCCUCCGCCCCCACGCCGGUCGAUCCACACGCCUCCCACCGCCGCCCGACGACGACCGGGGCUUCCUCCAAUCGAUCCCCACCCCGCCCACCACCGCCCAACGCCAUCGAUCUUGCCCCUCCGGCCGUGGUGAAGCACUCCCCAGAGGCACUGCUGCUCGUGGUGUCCAACCCCGUCGACGUCCUCACCUACCUCGCCUUGAAGCUUCCAGGGCUUCCUCCAAUCGAUCCCCAUCCCGUCCCACCGCCGCCCAAUGCCAUAGAUCUUGCCCCUCCGGUCGUGGUGAAGCACUCCCUGGAGGCACUGCUGCUCGUGGUGUCCAACUCCGUCGACGUCCUCACCUACCCCGUCGACGUUCGAGGUGAGCGGCGUCAUCUGCUCUGGUACCAACCUCGAUGUCUCCAGGAUCUGGCCGCCACAGUCGAUGCAGCAGCUAGCAGCAAGGCCCAUUGUCAUCACCGCGCAUCCCAGGUUCAUCUGCUUGCUGCUGUUUCGGCCAUCGCUGAAACCAACCAGGAGUUAGUGGCCUCAAAGCACCAAGGUAUAAUAAGCUUUCUUCUUCAUAGGUCAUCACUUCCUAAUCCUAGUUCAGUUCACUACAUAAUCCUAGUUCACUUCAUAGGUCAUCACUUUGUAAUCCUAGUUCAGUUCACUUCAAUAUUCCUUUUAUUUUAG
RNAcentral lists this ribosomal RNA (858 nucleotides) under Triticum aestivum (bread wheat). RNAcentral describes it as "partial small subunit ribosomal RNA". Lineage: Eukaryota; Viridiplantae; Streptophyta; Magnoliopsida; Poales; Poaceae. The record is from RNAcentral.